This 107-nucleotide small nuclear RNA is filed under the name Dasypus novemcinctus (nine-banded armadillo). Lineage: Eukaryota; Metazoa; Chordata; Mammalia; Cingulata; Dasypodidae. The record is from RNAcentral.
AUGCUCACUUUGGAAGCAUAUAUACUAAAAUUAGAGUAAUACAGAGAGAAUUAGCAUGACCCAUGCUCAAGGAUAAAACCCAAAUUUGUGAAAUGUUCCAUAUUUUU